RNAcentral lists this ribosomal RNA (485 nucleotides) under uncultured bacterium. Its description in RNAcentral is "bacterial SSU rRNA". It matches the Rfam family "Bacterial small subunit ribosomal RNA", at positions 355 to 851 of the family's 1533-position model. The record is from RNAcentral.
UGGGGAAUAUUGCACAAUGGGGGAAACCCUGAUGCAGCGACGCAGCGUGCGGGAUGACGGCCUUCGGGUUGUAAACCGCUUUCAGCAGGGGAAGAAGCGCAAGUGACGGUACCUGCAGAAGAAGUACCGGCUAACUACGUGCCAGCAGCCGCGGUAAUACGUAGGGUACGAGCGUUGUCCGGAAUUAUUGGGCGUAAAGAGCUCGUAGGUGGUUGGUCACGUCUGCUGUGGAAACGCAACGCUUAACGUUGCGCGUGCAGUGGGUACGGGCUGACUAGAGUGCAGUAGGGGAGUCUGGAAUUCCGUGGUGUAGCGGUGAAAUGCGCAGAUAUCAGGAGGAACACCGGUGGCGAAGGGCGGGACUCUGGGCUGUAACUGACACUGAGGAGCGAAAGCAUGGGGAGCGAAACAGGAUUAGGAUACCCUGGUAGUCCAUGCCGUAAACGUUGGGCACUAGGUGUGGGGGUCAGUUCCACGUUCUGCCG